Molecule: long non-coding RNA, 447 nt
Filed under: Monodelphis domestica (gray short-tailed opossum)
Lineage: Eukaryota; Metazoa; Chordata; Mammalia; Didelphimorphia; Didelphidae
Description: lncRNA (ENSMODG00000035885.2)
Source: RNAcentral
UAAAAAAGAACUACAUUUUCCCAGAGCUCACUGACUUCCUGUUAUGUAUUUCCUGUAGACAGGGGAUAAAUAUGGAGUGGGCAGUCCUGCCCUACUCUUUUUGGCAUGAUGACAUUGAGCUUGGUGGCAAUGACUUUCUUCCCUUUGGAGAUGUCCCCUUGAAGAAAAUGUGGAAUUUAUCUUCUCAUAAGAAAUUAGGAAUCAGAAGAUCAAGGAUCUCUUCUUUUUCAAACUUCUGACAAUUCUGCAUCUUAGACUAUGUGUCUGUAUGAGGUAUUUGUAGAAAUGGUGUGGAAAUACAACUCCCUCAUUUUAUAGAUAUCAAAUCCAUUGAAUCUUGAGAUUUCUCCAGUUUGGAGGAAAGGAGAUGGAGGUCAUACUUUCAGCAAGGAGGACAGUGCCCUGCACAUAGUAGGGCUUAAUAAAUGCUUGUUGAUUGGUUGAUCA